Molecule: ribosomal RNA, 497 nt
Filed under: uncultured bacterium
Lineage: Bacteria
Description: partial 16S ribosomal RNA
Rfam family: Bacterial small subunit ribosomal RNA
Source: RNAcentral
GACGAACGCUGGCGGCGUGCCUAAUACAUGCAAGUUGAGCGAUGAAGAUUGGUGCUUGCACCAAUUUGAAGAGCAGCGAACGGGUGAGUAACGCGUGGGGAAUCUGCCUUUGAGCGGGGGACAACAUUUGGAAACGAAUGCUAAUACCGCAUAACAACUUUAAACAUAAGUUUUAAGUUUGAAAGAUGCAAUUGCAUCACUCAAAGAUGAUCCCGCGUUGUAUUAGCUAGUUGGUGAGGUAAAGGCUCACCAAGGCGAUGAGACAUAGCCGACCUGAGAGGGUGAUCGGCCACAUUGGGACUGAGACACGGCACAAACGGCUACGGGAGGCAGCAGGAGGGAAACGUGGGCAAGGGACGAAAGGCUGAGCGAGCAACGCCGCGUGAGGGAAGAAGGUUGUCGGAUCGUAAAACUCGGUUGGUAGAGAAGAACGUGGGUGAGAGUGGAAAGCACAUCAAGUGACGGUAACGACUCAGAAAGGGACGGCUAACUACGUG